UAAACUCUAUAAGUGUCCAAAAAGCUUAAUUUGACAUAUAUAAAUAUGAUAUAUCAAAGUCCCCCACACUUACGUCUUUGCUUGUCUUCAAGUAAACACUCAAAACACUAAACAUGCUACUAGAUAACUCUUGAAUAAUGAUAAAGUAUGAGACAUGGUCAAUUAGUAUAUACAAUAAAAAUGACUCUUCUAACAUACAACUUAAGAAUGAUG
RNAcentral lists this long non-coding RNA (213 nucleotides) under Gossypium barbadense (sea-island cotton). Its description in RNAcentral is "long non-coding RNA (GBAR_LNC010342)". Lineage: Eukaryota; Viridiplantae; Streptophyta; Magnoliopsida; Malvales; Malvaceae. The record is from RNAcentral.